RNAcentral lists this ribosomal RNA (258 nucleotides) under uncultured microorganism. RNAcentral's name for it is "partial 16S ribosomal RNA". It matches the Rfam family "Bacterial small subunit ribosomal RNA", at positions 9 to 267 of the family's 1533-position model. The record is from RNAcentral.
GAGUUUUGAUCGUGGCUCAGGACGAACGCUGGCGGCGUGCCUAAUACAUGCAAGUCGAGCGAGGGUUUUCGGACCCUAGCGGCGGACGGGUGAGUAACACGUAGGCAACCUGCCCUCUCAGACCCGGGAUAACAUAGGGAAACUUAUGCUAAUACCGGAUAGGUUUUUGGAUUGCAUGAUCCGAAAAGAAAAGAUGGCUUUUGGCUAUCACUGGGAGAUGGGCCUGCGGCGCAUUAGCUAGUUGGUGGGUAACGCCUA